RNAcentral lists this ribosomal RNA (398 nucleotides) under uncultured bacterium. RNAcentral's name for it is "partial 16S ribosomal RNA". It matches the Rfam family "Bacterial small subunit ribosomal RNA", at positions 523 to 918 of the family's 1533-position model. The record is from RNAcentral.
AUACGUAGGGUGCGAGCGUUGUCCGGAAUUACUGGGCGUAAAGAGCUCGUAGGUGGUUUGUCGCGUCGUCUGUGAAAUUCCGGGGCUUAACUCCGGGCGUGCAGGCGAUACGGGCAUAACUUGAGUACUGUAGGGGAGACUGGAAUUCCUGGUGUAGCGGUGAAAUGCGCAGAUAUCAGGAGGAACACCGGUGGCGAAGGCGGGUCUCUGGGCUGUAACUGACGCUGAGGAGCGAAAGCAUGGGUAGCGAACAGGAUUAGAUACCCUGGCAGUCCAUGCCGUAAACGGUGGGCGCUAGGUGUAGGGGUCUUCCACGACUUCUGUGCCGUAGCUAACGCAUUAAGCGCCCCGCCUGGGGAGUACGGCCGCAAGGCUAAAACUCAAAUGAAUUGACGGGG